GGCGAAGCGGCCGGCUCUGGUGACCGGCGCGGUCUUCAAAACCGUUGAGCUGGCGCGCGAGCGUCGGUUGGUGGGUUCGAUUCCCAUGCUUCGCCGA
Molecule: transfer RNA, 97 nt
Filed under: Archangium sp.
Lineage: Bacteria; Pseudomonadati; Myxococcota; Myxococcia; Myxococcales; Archangiaceae
Description: tRNA-Sec
Rfam family: Selenocysteine transfer RNA
Source: RNAcentral